AGCCUUUCUACUACUUCACGUCUUUGAUCCUUUCUGUCCCAUUUCUCCCACCUUCAGCUGGAGAAAGCUUUAUGCCUUUAAGUGUUCCUGUGAUUAGAUUGGGUCCACCCAGAUAAACAGGAUAAUCUCCCUAUUUUAAGGUCACUAAUUGGUAACCUACUUACAUCUGCAAAGUCCCUUUUGUUAUGUAACAUAAUAUUACAGGCGCAGGCAUAAGGGCGUGACACCUUUGGGGGGCAUUCUGCCUACCGCCCAAGUCUCCUGACAGCCCACUCCAGCUGGGCUUUCACCCCUCCCACUGCUGAAACUGCUCCACACCAAUGAACAAAAUCAAUGAAAGCCCCUGCUCAUACUCGAGUGAGGGGGGCAGAACAUACACGUAAUGAGGAACCAUACACCGCGUUGGCCAGUGAGAAGUGCAAUGGGGAGAACAAGUCCAUCACCAUAAGGCAGUCAGAGGCCCUGCUGCAGGGGUGGGCAGAGCCGUCCUCUGAGAAAACAGCAUUGGAACUUGCAGUGGAAGGAGACAGAGUGAGCCGUGUGGCUAUACAGGGCAGAACAUUCUUGGCAGAAGGAACGGCCUGUGCAAAGGCCCUAAGCUG
Molecule: long non-coding RNA, 602 nt
Filed under: Homo sapiens (human)
Lineage: Eukaryota; Metazoa; Chordata; Mammalia; Primates; Hominidae
Description: HSALNT0157159
Source: RNAcentral